This 377-nucleotide ribosomal RNA is filed under the name uncultured eukaryote. Its description in RNAcentral is "partial 18S ribosomal RNA". It matches the Rfam family "Eukaryotic small subunit ribosomal RNA", at positions 592 to 976 of the family's 1831-position model. The record is from RNAcentral.
CAAUAGCGUAUAUUAAAGUUGUUGCAGUUAAAAAGCUCGUAGUUGGAUUUCGGGGCAGCCUGGCUGGUCCGCCGCAAGGCGAGUACUGGUCAGCCGCCCUUCCUCUCGAAAGCCCCGACUGCUCUUUAUUGCAGUGGUCGGGUAGUUCGGGACGUUUACUUUGAAAAAAUUAGAGUGUUCAAGGCAGGCCUACGCCUGAAUACAUUAGCAUGGAAUAAUGGAAGAGGACCUCGGUCCUAUUUUGUUGGUUUCCAGGACCGAAGUAAUGAUUAAGAGGGACAGUUGGGGGCAUUCGUAUUUAAUUGUCAGAAGUGAAAUUCUCGGAUUUAUGAAAGACGAACAACUGCGAAAGCAUUUGCCAAGGAUGUUUUCGUUAA